RNAcentral lists this long non-coding RNA (202 nucleotides) under Medicago truncatula (barrel medic). Its description in RNAcentral is "long non-coding RNA (MTRU_LNC003978)". Lineage: Eukaryota; Viridiplantae; Streptophyta; Magnoliopsida; Fabales; Fabaceae. The record is from RNAcentral.
UUCUCUCUUAUUAACACACUCUCUGAGACUUGACACUUUUUCACUCUGAUAUCUAUACUGAUCUAAAUCUUCAAUGCUCUUCGUAGAACGAGACACGACCCGAAUAUGCUCCACUUUACACUCUUCGACUUUAUGAAAAUAACGAGACAGGACCCUAACUUUACACUCUUGUUCAACUUCAAUCUUUCUAAGAUGAUUUCCC